CAGAACAUAUACCUCUGUUAGUGGAGCAGCCCCAACCCUAGCCCUUCUUCGGCCAUGGCGACCUAGCAAGCAGGAGGUUGCCAACACAAUUGGCAAGAGCUACAAAAUAUGAAAUUCCUCCCUGAACAAAGCUUGAGGAACCUGAAGUCUGCAGUCCUUCAGUCACAAGGCAUCCGAUGCUUGGUUCCAGAUGAUUGCAACAAGUUGCUUGCUCUUGUUAGAGCUGAAAAAAGAAAAGUCCGCGGCACUUUCACGUUGAUCCUUCGUCUUCGAUCUAUGCCGCCGGGCAUGACGCACCCUCCGUCAGAGUUCACGCCGGCCACGACGCUUCAUCUACAUCCGCAGGCUUUUAAUCGCCCUCUGGAGCAAGCAUCACCAGCAACCCUCGUAAUGGACGGCCUCCCACUCCUUUGUGCCUUUUACUAUUGUACAGUUACAUUCCGUGGGAAUUGUGCCGUGUGUGUGUGGGCAGUUUAGGGAGUUUGCUGCAAAUGUUGCUCGGUUAGGAAACCUGUGCAGUGAUCCCAAAUGGCACAACUUGAAUCAGCAUUUCUCGAGGUUGAAGUGUGAACCCACUUUGGUGGAUGGAUGGAUGGAGGGAGGUUAACCACACAUCAGAAAUACUCUAAAGAAGCAGCAGCAUCCAGUAUGUACUAUGUAGUAUCUCAGUUCGUUUGUGGUGGAUGGAUGGAGGGAGGGAGGUGAAGUGAGAUGGACUGGGCAGUCUACUGCGUUUGGUUUGUUUAGGUGGAAAGAUUCUUGACCACUGACUCACAGCUGAUGCUGAUUUCUGAUCAUCUAGCAAGGAGGUCUCUAUGGCAAGUCCAAGAUGGUGUCGAAGAAAAAAUCUAUUGUGAUGUCCUUUGUUGCAUGCUAUACUCGAAUCUUGUGUGCCCAAAGAGCCUCAUAAUUGAUAAGAGCAUUCACACAGCAUGUCUGGGAAAUCAGAUCAGCACAACAUUUCAUUUAUAUACAAAAUCAACAUUUUAUUGGUUCUUCGUAUGAGUGACCAUCCUAUGUGAAUUCAGAUCCAAGUUGGCAUGAUGAAAUAUGGAUGGACAACAUCAAUAGGUCCAGUUCCUUGAGUUUGUGGUUAAUGGAGAAAGGCUUUCUAUCAUUGCUUAAGUGAACUCUCAGAUCUUUCAACAUGGUAUUGUUGAUCUGCGGGGGCUAUCAUUCUUCACUAUGCAACAUUGGCACUUUCUAGGCUGAAGUAUCUUAUCAAGCCCAUUGUUUGCAGCAUAACGGCCUAUGAUCAGGCUUGUACACAGUUAAUUGUCUCAUGUGUGCAAUGCAAGCAGAGCAGGUUUAAAUAAAUCCUAAUAGGGUUGUCUGUGCUAGAUGGUACUAACUACAUGUAUCAGGUUGAUAUAUAUUUCCUUCUUUGUCAAUGAGCAAAUCAUAAUAUGACUUAUUGACGUGUCAAGGCUUCUGUUGCAUUCUUAGGGAAGAUUGUGGUCAGUGAAAUUGCAUUGACUUUGAUUUUGAGUGCCGUUC
Molecule: long non-coding RNA, 1497 nt
Organism: Aegilops tauschii subsp. strangulata
Lineage: Eukaryota; Viridiplantae; Streptophyta; Magnoliopsida; Poales; Poaceae
Source: RefSeq, a predicted model, not a curated record